AACUCUGACCCAGCCAUGCCGCGUGCAGGAAGACUGCCCUAUGGGUUGUAAACUGCUUUUAUACAGGAAGAAACCCGGCCACGUGUGGCCGGCUGACGGUACUGUACGAAUAAGGACCGGCUAACUCCGUGCCAGCAGCCGCGGUAAUACGGAGGGUCCAAGCGUUAUCCGGAAUCAUUGGGUUUAAAGGGUCCGUAGGCGGGCAAUUAAGUCAGAGGUGAAAUCCCACAGCUCAACUGUGGAACUGCCUUUGAUACUGGUUGUCUUGAGUUAUAGUGAAGUGGAUAGAAUAUGUAGUGUAGCGGUGAAAUGCAUAGAUAUUACAUAGAAUACCGAUUGCGAAGGCAGA
This 349-nucleotide ribosomal RNA is filed under the name uncultured bacterium. RNAcentral's name for it is "bacterial SSU rRNA". It matches the Rfam family "Bacterial small subunit ribosomal RNA", at positions 379 to 725 of the family's 1533-position model. The record is from RNAcentral.